RNAcentral lists this long non-coding RNA (5612 nucleotides) under Equus caballus (horse). RNAcentral describes it as "lncRNA (ENSECAG00000054229.1)". The record is from RNAcentral. Lineage: Eukaryota; Metazoa; Chordata; Mammalia; Perissodactyla; Equidae.
AAAGACUCAACCAUACUAACUUUGCAGUUUAAGUAAUAAACCUGUCAUCUAUGAGUAAACGCUCAAGUAAUAAUGCUUUUAAAAAUGGUAUUUAUUAAAUGUAUUGGUUUAAUAAACGAAGCAAAAAGACAAUACAGAUGGGAGUGAGUAUUGCUUUCCAUGGGCAGAAGCCCUUUGGCUCCAAAGGAACAACAACAUAAAGGAUAAGCGGUAAGUGAUUGAGACUUGGGAGAAUGUGAUGAAAGGACAGCAUAGAAAAUGCCAGAAAGACUUGGGAGGGGCCAGAACCAUGAGAAUGACAGGAGAACAGAUGCCUCAGAUGCUUCGGAACAAGCAGGCCACAUGGGGGAGGUGGCAGGAAGGCCACAUCUGCUCAGCCAGAGCCUCCUUAUCCCCAGAGGAGGGCGAGAGGGAUGGCUGGGAACAGGCACGUAGGAGGGUCUCUGAAUGGGGUCAGGAGGGAAAGGUAGAGAUCAUUUCUAGGGAGAACCGAGAGGUGAGAAAUGGGCGCCUGCCUGGCCGCCACGAUCCAGAAAGUCCAAAACUGCUCAACCAAUUUGGACGAGGCAAGCGAGGCUGGAAGGGCUGGUGGAGAAGGCGGCUGUACCAGUCUGCCCCCCUGUGUCCGGUUUGGAGCUCAUCUCUUGGCGCCCGAUGGGCCCACCGUGGGCCCAUGUGGCUGUGCCGGGACAUGGGGAGAAGCCGCGCUGGAAGCCAGGGCAGGCGGGACAGAGCCCCGGGGGCUGUCACCAGCAAAGCUUCCACAGGGCGCCCGCAGCGUUUGCACCGCGCAGCCCAGGGCUGAGCCGGGCGCAGGCUCCAAGAAGGGCUCAGCGCACACAACUUCAAGGACACUCAAGUGCAUAUCGAUGGGGCUGCCAACGGGAGCGGCCGCUCGGGGCAGCCCAUGCUAGCCGGGACAUUGGCAUGGCCCUUGCUGGGAAGCUCGGGAAACCGCGUCAUCCGUGGCGGCGCCCCUGCGCAGUCGCCCGGAGACCGCGGCUGGGAGAUUUCCCCCUCCCCCAUCCCCACAAAGCCUGCCGUUGGAAGACGUUGGCCGCUCGCCACCCCGGCUUCCUUCCGUUAGGGUCACUGGGCCCCGGGGGUCCCGGGAGCUGCAGGACUCGAGGUUGACCAGGCGCACUCUGGCUGUGGCAGGCCCUCUGGGAGGCUGUGCAGACUUGGAGACCCAAAAUCUAGACUGUAGCUGAAGCCUUGAGCUAUAGCAGAGCCAUAUAUUCUUGUGGUGACAGUGGCCUUAGGAAAAAAAUUCUCUCUCUUGGAUGAUUAGUCAUGAGGCUGCUCUGUCAGCACAGCUCUUGAUGGAAACGGCAGAUAGGUCUGCUGUCUCAGUGAGCGCCGCAGGGUGGCAGAGACUGGAAAACUGGCUCCUUGGUUUGGAAGCGGCACUGUCUGAGACUUGGUUCUUUGGAAAUAGACAAGGUCCCAUUCCAGGAGGAUUUUCAAGUAGAAGGUGAAUGGACAUCAACUAGGGACACUGAGAAUAAGGGCUUCAUGAUACAACGUUUGGCUGUCUCUUGAUGGGGAAGGGCAAGUGUGCUCUUGUGGUCAAGUAUGGGAGAGGUGGGUUCUGUCAUGUGGAAGUUUCUUUGAAAUUGCGAAUUUCCACUCAUGGAACAAUGGUGCCAUUAUAAGCUCAGCACCAAGGAAUGUAAAUGUCGCAUUAAAACCUUCUUGAGGUAUCUGCCGUCUCACAAUAUAUAUGCUUCAAAGUGAUGCUACUGCAUUAUAAUAAAGUAUCCUUUUGAUGACAUAUGAUCUGACAGAGCAUUUAUGUGUACGAAACAUCUUUCAAAGACAACACAAAUUGAAUAAUAUUUAGUUCUAUAUGUAAUAGAUAAGGAUUUCUUCAUACUACUUGGGGCACAAAAAUGUCAUAUUGUUUAGAGCCCUCACUUGUAAAGGGACGCAGGAAGUGUUCUGUAUUAAUCACUGGAGGGUUCUUCACUAUUUAGACUGUUCCAGGACCGCAAGUCUUAACCCUGAGAAAAGAAUCAGGAGAUUGUGGGCAGCUUUAUUCUUUAGUCCAUGGGUUUGCUUUGACGAUGCCCUUGUUCGGGCCCUAAAAUUUCAAAUACAGGCAGCUUCCCCUGCGGCUCCAUUCACCCCGGGCUGGACUGGCUGCAGUGAACUUACUUCACUGCUGCUCUCAGUUGUUAUGUGCAUGGUACACAGCCUCCCCACGGAGCCAUGAUGCUUUCUCCCUUCCAAGAUGCCUCUGCCUGAGGGAUCCUGAAUGAGAGUAGAGUGAUAAUAUUAGCCACUAUCAGAAAUGGAAAUCCCAGGGGCUGGCCCAGUGGCAUAGCGGUUCACAUGCUCUGCUGCGGUGGCCUGGGGUUCGCUUGUUCAGAUCCUGGCUGCAGACCCACCUACCACUUAUCAAGCUCUGCUGUGUCAGGCGUCCUACAUAUAAAACAGAGUAAGAUGGGCACAGGUGUUAGCUCAGGGCUGAUCUUCUUCAGCAAAAAGAAGAGGAUUGGUGGCGGAUGUUAGUUCAGGGCUAAUCCUCCCCAAAAAAGAAAAAAGAAAAGAAAUGGAAAUCCCAGCUACUCCAGUGGAUCCACAAUCAUCUUUUCUUCAAGUUGGAUAGAUCAUCCUUAGAGUUUGUUUGGUCUUUGUCAUCCAAAUAUAGUGGAGAAGAAGGGGGUUCUUCAAUCUGGCUCAUCUCCGUGUGGCUUGAAACAUACAAAUGGUGUCAACUUUCAACUGUGAGCCAGAGAAAUAUGACUCAAGACAGAUGUCUAACUGCACUUCUCUAAAGAAAGGGAAACUUUCAACUUUUCUUUUCCUAAAGUACCCUGUCAUCAGUAAAAAGAAACACCUUACCCUAUCACGUACCUUACAAUGUCCAGUGUUUUUCCAUCACUAACAGUAGCUUCCACUUACUUAGCUCCUUCUAUGUCUCAAGCAAUAUUCUAGAUGAUUUAUACAUUUUUAUGCAUUUAAUACAACAAUCCUGGUAUUAUGUAUUCUCACCCUAAUUAUUACAAAUGAUGAAACUGAGGCACCGGGGACUUACCUUAUUUGCUCAGAAAUACGUGGUUAUUAGACUUCUAUUUUGUGUAGCGAAAGAAAUAUAAUUAUUAAAUUGGAAGUGUUUGGGGAAAAGCUUAAAAUUUAAUCCCUGUGUUACAAUCUUUGUGAAUUAAGGUUUUGCCGCUUACCCGUUUGGUGUGAGACUCUAAAGAUGGGGUGGGACAGAAUAUAACUUCGGUGUCAUUUCAAAAUUUUAGAUUUAGUUCUUGGCCGUGAUACGGAGGUUUUGCAAAACAUGGAGAAGACAGCUCCCCUCUUCCUCCUGCAAAGAACAGAUUUUCUAAUCCUGGUUUUGCCAUCUUGGUGAGCUUGUUGAUCAUUUUGGCCACUGCUCUCUGGCAAGACCCUUGCCUUGCCCACUGCUCUCUUAAAAACAGCGCCUUUACAGCACAUGGAACUUUAAAGAGUAGAAAUUACAGUGACGUGGCUGAUUGUGCUGACAGUUUUUGAAGAAAUUGUAUUUAAGGGAAAUGCUAAUUGCAGAGCACAGCCAACAUUUUAAGAGAAAAUAUUUAUCUAAGCUGAACCAAGGUUUGUCUUUUAUAAUGUUUAUUAUGGAGAAGGAAAAAUAUUUUCACAGCCCUUAAAAUUUCCUUAAGCAGCAACUGUUGUUCUUUAGCAAAUCUGGGGAAGCCUCAGGGAUGAGGCAGCACAUUGGCCAAAUUGGGGAGCUUUCAUAUUUCCCAGGGAAGGAAACGGAUUUGAAGAAUGCUCCGGUCCAGAAGCAGAGGUGGAAAGGUGACCUCUGCUUGCUGUGGUGUGAACAGUUGAUUCCGUUCCUGUGAUGAUUCCUGUCUGUGCCCCAGCACUGAAGUUGCCCCAGUUUAUUAAACCGAGUUGAAUGGACAUUGCUGACGGGAGUAUUAGCACCUUUGCUUGCCAUGUGGUUGAACCCGACUAAUUCAUUUAUCUGUAAAGCCCCAGAUCAAACACCACUAUUUCUUGUAGUGUUUCUUGUCUUCCCCAGACAAAAUUAACGCUCUUUGGAUUUCCCAAAACACUUGUCAUAUACCUCCAUGCCUUGAUUUAGUAGGUCCAUUUCUCUACUAAACUGAGCUUUUUGAGAGCAGAAAGUAAGUGUCAUCUCUGACGUUGCAGUACCUGGUGGCAGAUUAUGAACUAAAGUGUUGAAAUUUGUCUAAUACCAAGGAAGAUGGGAACAUAAGUGACAUCUGUCUUUGGGGGGUUUUCACUCAAGUUCCUCCAGGGCUACCCUUUAUCUCAUGCUGUGUCCCCCAAAUGCCUGUGACCAUCUGCUCUUGGAUUCUUUGUUUACUCUUGGGCAAGGCUUCUCAGACUUCCUAUGGAGGCAUCAGAAACAUCAAACACUUGCUAGCUGUACCCCUCAAGAUCUGGAGAUUUGGAGCCAGCUGAAAUUUCUUGGCAUUUCAUACUUCAUCUCAAAAAUCUAUCUACAGUUUAUGUUUCACAUGUCCUGCUACAUGUGACAAGUUUUCUCAUAAAACUUCUGGAAAAUGUACAUCAUUUCAUAGUUCCAGAGGGGGUAGUUUGAGAAGGGUGGUGCUAAGCAACCAAAACUGAUCAUGGCUCAUUGUGGGCAUCUUCCUCGUAAGGCAUCAGAUGGCACUCUGCGAGGAGGAAUUUCUGAAACCUGGAAAUGAGGGAAUUCGGAGAGUAGUAUCCAGGCAGCAAUCACUUCAUUAGUUGUAUCUUAUUCUGUGUAACAAAAUUUGUUCCCAGUAGGGAUGUUAGAAUUAGUUUGGAGCCCAAGUUUUACUCUCUUGUUAAUUGCUGAUAGAAAACAUACCUUGUAGACUACUGAAAAGAGGAAAUGAUAACAACCUAUUUAGUGUUCUCCGAAAUUCUGUACACGUUACCUAAUAAUAUCAUAAAAGAGCUUACCCAGGUUUAGAUUGAUUUGUAUGAAUUGUAAACCAGUUUGUGCUUUUCCAUAUAAACAUCUCAGGUUGGAGUAACCAUUGACUGCAUCUUAAUUUUGGACACUGACCAGUAAUAAAAAUCAAGACACAAGUUAACCAAAGACAGAACAAUAUGUGCCAUGAAGAGUAAACCAUUCCUCCUUAUAGGCACUUUCCCAAGUCACUGAUUUUCCUCCUUGGGACAGGGUCAGAAUCCUUCUGUCAAACGCUCAGAUCAACUGCAGUCAGUAUGUACUAUGUAGGCGCCAUGGGGCAGUUUCUGUGCAGCUCUCUAUGAAAGGCCUGAGGGCUUUUCCCAGAGGAAGAUGUUAAUGGCUUUCUACAAUGAUGUGUUGUUUCUUUAACUUGCCCUGAGUUGAUGGAUUUCAAAUAUACAGUUGGACACAUACACUAAUCAAGUAGUGUGGGUUCCAUUUUGCCUUGCGGUGCCCAGCGUCCAUUUGUCAACCAGUGCCCUUUUCAGGGGUUGUCCUCUGAAAGCCCCAAGUAGAACUGUGAGGUUAGCAGGUAUCCUGUGGGGCAGUUUCUUCUUCAUAUUGCUUUUACUUUGGGGAGGUAUUUCAGAGAAUUUAUGCUCCCCACCAAGUAUCAGCACUAUGCAAAAGAAAUAGGAGAAAUUUUUUUAUAUUCUUUUUUAUUUUACUCAAUAUAUCC